This 257-nucleotide ribosomal RNA is filed under the name uncultured bacterium. Its description in RNAcentral is "partial 16S ribosomal RNA". It matches the Rfam family "Bacterial small subunit ribosomal RNA", at positions 524 to 781 of the family's 1533-position model. The record is from RNAcentral.
UACAGAGGUCUCAAGCGUUGUUCGGAUUCAUUGGGCGUAAAGGGUGCGUAGGUGGCAUGGUAAGUCGGAUGUGAAAUCCCGGGGCUCAACCCGGAACUGCAUUCGAUACUGCUGCGCUGGAGUACUGGAGAGGAGAUUGGAAUUUACGGUGUAGCAGUGAAAUGCGUAGAUAUCGUAAGGAAGACCAGUGGCGAAGGCGGAUCUCUGGACAGUUACUGACACUGAGGCACGAAGGCCAGGGGAGCAAACGGGAUUAG